AGUGAACGCUGGCGGUAGGCCUAAUACAUGCAAGUCGAACGGCAGCACAGUAAGAGCUCGCUUCUACGGGUGGCGACUGGCGGACGGGUGACGCAUACAUAGGCAUCUACUUUUUCGUGGGUGAUUACGUAGGGACACUUACGCUACUACCGCAUAUGUCCUACGGCUGAAAGCAGUAGAUCUUCGCACCUUGCGCGUCACUUUGAGAUGAUGUCGGAUUAGCUAGUUGGCGUGGUAAAGGCUCACCAAGGCGACGAUGCGUAGCUGGUCUGAGAGGAUGAUCAGCCACACUGGAACUGAGACACGGUCCAGACUCCUACGGGAGGCAGCAGUGGGGAAUAUUGGACAAUGGGCGCAAGCCUGAUCCAGCCAUGCCGCGUGAGUGAAGAAGGCCUUCGGGUUGUAAAGCCCUUUUAUUGGGGAAGAAAAGCUGCGGAUUAAUGCCUGGCUGUUCUGACGGUACCUAAAGAGUAAGCACCGGCUAACUUCGUG
RNAcentral lists this ribosomal RNA (492 nucleotides) under uncultured bacterium. RNAcentral describes it as "partial 16S ribosomal RNA". It matches the Rfam family "Bacterial small subunit ribosomal RNA", at positions 29 to 507 of the family's 1533-position model. The record is from RNAcentral.